This 617-nucleotide ribosomal RNA is filed under the name Listeria monocytogenes. RNAcentral describes it as "bacterial SSU rRNA". It matches the Rfam family "Bacterial small subunit ribosomal RNA", at positions 1 to 599 of the family's 1533-position model. The record is from RNAcentral. Lineage: Bacteria; Bacillati; Bacillota; Bacilli; Caryophanales; Listeriaceae.
UUUAAAGAGAGUUUGAUCCUGGCUCAGGACGAACGCUGGCGGCGUGCCUAAUACAUGCAAGUCGAACGAACGGAGGAAGAGCUUGCUCUUCCAAAGUUAGUGGCGGACGGGUGAGUAACACGUGGGCAACCUGCCUGUAAGUUGGGGAUAACUCCGGGAAACCGGGGCUAAUACCGAAUAAUAAGAUGUGGCGCAUGCCACGCCUUUGAAAGAUGGUUUCGGCUAUCGCUUACAGAUGGGCCCGCGGUGCAUUAGCUAGUUGGUAGGGUAAUGGCCUACCAAGGCAACGAUGCAUAGCCGACCUGAGAGGGUGAUCGGCCACACUGGGACUGAGACACGGCCCAGACUCCUACGGGAGGCAGCAGUAGGGAAUCUUCCGCAAUGGACGAAAGUCUGACGGAGCAACGCCGCGUGUAUGAAGAAGGUUUUCGGAUCGUAAAGUACUGUUGUUAGAGAAGAACAAGGAUAAGAGUAACUGCUUGUCCCUUGACGGUAUCUAACCAGAAAGCCACGGCUAACUACGUGCCAGCAGCCGCGGUAAUACGUAGGUGGCAAGCGUUGUCCGGAUUUAUUGGGCGUAAAGCGCGCGCAGGCGGUCUUUUAAGUCUGAUGUGAAA